This 465-nucleotide ribosomal RNA is filed under the name Vreelandella stevensii. RNAcentral describes it as "partial 16S ribosomal RNA". It matches the Rfam family "Bacterial small subunit ribosomal RNA", at positions 338 to 795 of the family's 1533-position model. The record is from RNAcentral. Lineage: Bacteria; Pseudomonadati; Pseudomonadota; Gammaproteobacteria; Oceanospirillales; Halomonadaceae.
CCUACGGGAGGCUGCAGUGGGGAAUAUUGGACAAUGGGGGGAACCCUGAUCCAGCCAUGCCGCGUGUGUGAAGAAGGCCCUCGGGUUGUAAAGCACUUUCAGUGAGGAAGAACGCCUGGUGGUUAAUACCCAUCAGGAAAGACAUCACUCACAGAAGAAGCACCGGCUAACUCCGUGCCAGCAGCCGCGGUAAUACGGAGGGUGCGAGCGUUAAUCGGAAUUACUGGGCGUAAAGCGCGCGUAGGUGGCUUGAUAAGCCGGUUGUGAAAGCCCCGGGCUCAACAUGGGAACGGCAUCCGGAACUGUCAAGCUAGAGUGCAGGAGAGGAAGGUAGAAUUCCCGGUGUAGCGGUGAAAUGCGUAGAGAUCGGGAGGAAUACCAGUGGCGAAGGCGGCCUUCUGGACUGACACUGACACUGAGGUGCGAAAGCGUGGGUAGCAAACAGGAUUAGAUACCCUAGUAGUC